CGUCUGGAAAGGCGCGCGAUACAGGGUGACAGCCCCGUACACAAAAAUGCACAUGCUGUGAGCUCGAUGAGUAGGGCGGGACACGUGGUAUCCUGUCUGAAUAUGGGGGGACCAUCCUCCAAGGCUAAAUACUCCUGACUGACCGAUAGUGAACCAGUACCGUGAGGGAAAGGCGAAAAGAACCCCGGCGAGGGGAGUGAAAAAGAACCUGAAACCGUGUACGUACAAGCAGUGGGAGCACAGAGCAAUCUGUGUGACUGCGUACCUUUUGUAUAAUGGGUCAGCGACUUAUAUUCUGUAGCAAGGUUAACCGAAUAGGGGAGCCGAAGGGAAACCGAGUCUUAACUGGGCGUUAAGUUGCAGGGUAUAGACCCGAAACCCGGUGAUCUAGCCAUGGGCAGGUUGAAGGUUGGGUAACACUAACUGGAGGACCGAACCGACUAAUGUUGAAAAAUUAGCGGAUGACUUGUGGCUGGGGGUGAAAGGCCAAUCAAACCGGGAGAUAGCUGGUUCUCCCCGAAAGCUAUUUAGGUAGCGCCUCGUGAAUUCAUCUCCGGGGGUAGAGCACUGUUUCGGCAAGGGGGUCAUCCCGACUUACCAACCCGAUGCAAACUGCGAAUACCGGAGAAUGUUAUCACGGGAGACACACGGCGGGUGCUAACGUCCGUCGUGAAGAGGGAAACAACCCAGACCGCCAGCUAAGGUCCCAAAGUCAUGGUUAAGUGGGAAACGAUGUGGGAAGGCCCAGACAGCCAGGAUGUUGGCUUAGAAGCAGCCAUCAUUUAAAGAAAGCGUAAUAGCUCACUGGUCGAGUCGGCCUGCGCGGAAGAUGUAACGGGGCUAAACCAUGCACCGAAGCUGCGGCAGCGACGCUGAUGCGUUGUUGGGUAGGGGAGCGUUCUGUAAGCCUGUGAAGGUGUGCUGUGAGGCAUGCUGGAGGUAUCAGAAGUGCGAAUGCUGACAUAAGUAACGAUAAAGCGGGUGAAAAGCCCGCUCGCCGGAAGACCAAGGGUUCCUGUCCAACGUUAAUCGGGGCAGGGUGAGUCGACCCCUAAGGCGAGGCCGAAAGGCGUAGUCGAUGGGAAACAGGUUAAUAUUCCUGUACUUGGUGUUACUG
Molecule: ribosomal RNA, 1117 nt
Filed under: Escherichia coli
Lineage: Bacteria; Pseudomonadati; Pseudomonadota; Gammaproteobacteria; Enterobacterales; Enterobacteriaceae
Description: partial 23S ribosomal RNA
Rfam family: Bacterial large subunit ribosomal RNA
Source: RNAcentral